RNAcentral lists this transfer RNA (72 nucleotides) under Camelus bactrianus (Bactrian camel). It matches the Rfam family "tRNA". Rfam says of the family: Transfer RNA (tRNA) molecules are approximately 80 nucleotides in length. Their secondary structure includes four short double-helical elements and three loops (D, anti-codon, and T loops). The record is from Rfam by way of RNAcentral. RNAcentral also lists the same sequence under 1 other name. Lineage: Eukaryota; Metazoa; Chordata; Mammalia; Artiodactyla; Camelidae.
GAAGGUAUAGCUCAGUGGUAAAGAAUCUGCUUAGCAUGCAUGAAGUCCUGGAUUCAAUCUCCAGUACCUCCA